This is an RNA transcript of Lactuca sativa (garden lettuce), 1253 nucleotides long. It is a transcript of the gene named Tic22-like family protein, with no coding region annotated. NCBI's taxonomy places the organism in Eukaryota, Viridiplantae, Streptophyta, Magnoliopsida, Asterales, Asteraceae. The record is from RefSeq and is a predicted model, not a curated record.
GCAACCGACUACCUUCCUCGUUCAGUCCUCCCCUUUCUCCUCGGUAAUGGAGUCUCCAAACCCCGCUUCCUCUGCAACCCCCAAUCCCUUCGCCUUCUUCCACCAGCAUUUUCAACGUCUAAGCUCCGACAUCUCUACCCGUCUCGACGAAACACGGCGAGGAAUCGCCAAAAACCUUUUCCCAUUUCAGCCACAUAAGCCCCAUCGCUGGUCAUUGCCCUUUGCUUCGUUGUCACAGCAACAAGACGACAACACUCUUCGCAGCGGAAAACAUGUGUUUGACUUGGCCCUAAGCACUGCCAACGUGUCGAAAACGCUUGCUGGAACAGAGCUGUACACAGUCAGCAAUUCCGAUAACGAAUUCGUCCUAAUUUCUGAUCCUAAUGGACUCAAAUCAAUUGGGUUACUUUGUUUUCGUCAAGAAGACGCCGAAGCAUUUCUUGCUCAGGUUCGAUUGAGGAAAAGGGAGUUAAAAGGGCGAGCAAAAGUUGUACCAAUUGCGCUUGACCAGGUUUAUAUGUUGAAGGUUGAAGGAAUUGCAUUUCGAUUUUUGCCUGAUCCUGUUCAACUUAAGAAUGCAAUGGAGUUGAAUACUUCUACUACCAAGAAUGGGUUUGAUGGAGUCCCUGUUUUUCAGUCGGAUCUCCUAGUUAUAAAGAAGAAAAACAAACGUUACUGUCCUAUAUAUUUUCGAAAGGAAGAUAUUGAGAAAGAGUUGUUAAUGAUUCCACGUGGACCAAGAGGACCUGCCAUUUCACAACAUAUCAUGGUGGGAUGUUUGGAAGAUGUUUUGAAAAAAAUGGAGAUGAGUGAGAAAAAUUCAGGUUGGGAAGAUCUAGUUUUCAUCCCUCCUGGUAAAAGUCAAUCGCUACACCUGCAGGAAGUUGUAAACGCGUGAAAAAACAUUUGUUCAUUUUUCAUAAUAAUUCAAGAUCAAAAGCAUGCCCAAUUUUAGCAUUUUUCUAGUCUUGUUGAAAAACAGUGGAACAAAUAGACCGAAUGGAUUUAUUCCCUUCUUUUGACAAUGAGUAGAAAGCCGAAGAUGUAAUUUUAAUGCAAGUUUUAUCAUUUUGUUAAGGUAGUGAAUUGCCAUGUAGAAGAUAGUGACAAGGAUGAUGAUAUCACGGGAAGAUGUAUUUUGUAUAUUGGAAUCUUGAUUGUGAAUGAAAAUCAUAGCAUCAUUUGAAUUCUUAAUUUUUUUGAUGUUAUACUUUAUGAAACUAUGUAUGAUGAGUCUUGAGAGUUGCACGUGA